RNAcentral lists this ribosomal RNA (1497 nucleotides) under uncultured prokaryote. RNAcentral's name for it is "partial 16S ribosomal RNA". It matches the Rfam family "Bacterial small subunit ribosomal RNA". The record is from RNAcentral.
AGAGUUUGAUCCUGGCUCAGAUUGAACGCUGGCGGCAGGCCUAACACAUGCAAGUCGAGCGGAAACAGAGAGUAACUUGUUACUUCGGCGUCGAGCGGCGGACGGGAGAGUAAUGCCUGGGAAAUUGCCCUGAUGUGGGGGAUAACCAUUGGAAACGAUGGCUAAUACCGCAUAAUAGCUUCGGCUCAAAGAGGGGGACCUUCGGGCCUCUCGCGUCAGGAUAUGCCCAGGUGGGAUUAGCUAGUUGGUGAGGUAAUGGCUCACCAAGGCGACGAUCCCUAGCUGGUCUGAGAGGAUGAUCAGCCACACUGGAACUGAGACACGGUCCAGACUCCUACGGGAGGCAGCAGUGGGGAAUAUUGCACAAUGGGCGCAAGCCUGAUGCAGCCAUGCCGCGUGUAUGAAGAAGGCCUUCGGGUUGUAAAGUACUUUCAGCAGUGAGGAAGGUGAUAGUGCUAAUACGCUGUUGCCCUGACCGUACCAACAGAAGAAGCACCGGCUAACUCCGUGCCAGCAGUUGCGGUAAUACGGAGGGUGCAAGCGUUAAUCGGAAUUACUGGGCGUAAAGCGCGCGUAGGCGGUUAGAUCAGUCAGAUGUGAAAGCCCUGGGCUCAACCUGGGAACUGCGUCUGAUACUGUCUAACUAGAGUUUGGGAGAGGAGUGUGGAAUUUCCUGUGUAGCGGUGAAAUGCGCGUAGAGAUCUGGAGGAAUACCGAUGGCGAAGGCAGCCAUCUGGCCUAAUACUGACGCUGAGGUACGAAAGCAUGGGGAGCAAACAGGAUUAGAUACCCUGGUAGUCCAUGCCGUAAACGAUGUCUUCUAGCCGUUGGGAGACUUGAUCUCUUAGUGGCGCAGCUAACGCGAUAAGUAGACCGCCUGGGGAGUACGGUCGCAAGACUAAAACUCAAAUGAAUUGACGGGGGCCCGCACAAGCGGUGGAGCAUGUGGUUUAAUUCGAUGCAACGCGAAGAACCUUACCUACCCUUGACAUACAGAGAACUUUCCAGAGAUGGAUUGGUCCCUUCGGGAACUCUGAUACAGGUGCUGCAUGGCUGUCGUCAGCUCGUGUUGUGAAAUGUUGGGUUAAGUCCCGUAACGAGCGCAACCCUUGUCCUUAGUUGCUAACACGUAAUGGUGAGGACUCUAAGGAGACUGCCGGUGACAAACCGGAGGAAGGUGGGGACGACGUCAAGUCAUCAUGGCCCUUACGGAGUGGGCUACACACGUGCUACAAUGGUCGGUACAAAGGGUUGCCAAGCCGCGAGGUGGAGCUAAUCCCAUAAAACCGAUCGUAGUCCGGAUUGGAGUCUGCAACUCGACUCCAUGAAGUCGGAAUCGCUAGUAAUCGUGGAUCAGCAUGCCACGGUGAAUACGUUCCCGGGCCUUGUACACACCGCCCGUCACACCAUGGGAGUGGGUUGCACCAGAAGUAGCUAGACUAACCUUCGGGAGGUCGGUUACCACGGUGUGAUUCAUGACUGGGGUGAAGUCGUAAC